UCAUUCGAGCAAGAAAUAUUA
RNAcentral lists this microRNA (21 nucleotides) under Populus trichocarpa (black cottonwood). RNAcentral's name for it is "ptc-miR828b-3p". Its record names the gene ptc-miR828b-3p. RNAcentral also lists the same sequence under 1 other name. The record is from miRBase by way of RNAcentral. Lineage: Eukaryota; Viridiplantae; Streptophyta; Magnoliopsida; Malpighiales; Salicaceae.